RNA transcript from Dalotia coriaria, 2222 nucleotides. It is a transcript of the gene named Pigment-dispersing factor receptor, with no coding region annotated. The transcript has 13 exons. The record is from RefSeq and is a predicted model, not a curated record. Lineage: Eukaryota; Metazoa; Arthropoda; Insecta; Coleoptera; Staphylinidae.
CGUGAACAACGGAUGCAGCCGGCGACGCCGCCGCCGACGCUCCGAUAAAAACAAGCACGCCACAUCUAAAGGCGGCUCAGUUCCGACGCUCCUAUCGACGAGCGUCGUCCGUGUCGAAGUUUCGUCCUGCGAGUUUCUCGCAACGUCAAGUUCGCGUAUUCUUGUGAUUCAACAACCAAACACAAAAAAUCAAACAAAAUCAAAAUUCCUAUAACUUUUAAUUAAACGCAUUUAAUUUGUGCGCUCGCAUCAAUACAAAUUAUAAUUAUUAACGUGUAAGAAACUUUUUCAUCAUUUUAUCACCAAAAACUUAAAUAAAUUGUUCGGCCCGGAUCAAAUUCAAGUUCAAGAUGAAUAACCAAACGUGCAUAGCGAAAUUCAAAAAUCAAACGGAAGAAUUUCGAUCUAGUGCUGUAUUAUAUUGCCCGACGGUUUUUGACACAUUUUUAUGCUGGGGACCAACGUUAGCAAACACAAGCAUAAGUCAAAAUUGUCCUGUGCAGAGAGGGGUAGAUCCUACAAAAUUUGCGUGGAGAACGUGCACAGCUGAAGGCAAAUGGUCCAACAACGGCAAAGAAGAGCUUAUUGAUCAGGGAUACACAAAUUACACAACGUGUAUCACGAAUUUAGCUCACGGUGUACACGAUAUGUGUCAACGUCUGGGAGAAGGCGCAUGUGAUACUAUUGUAUAUGCAACUCGUAAAAUUGAAAUGGUGGGUCUAAGCUUAUCACUAAUAGCACUAAUUGCAUCUUUAGUCAUUUUCUACAGAUACAGAGUGCUUCGAAACAAUCGAACAACAAUCCACAAAAACCUGUUCAUAGCAACACUGAAUCAAGUGAUUAUACGAUUAAUUAUAUACAGUGAUCAAAAGUAUAAACUAAUUGAAAAUAAGCCGUAUCUCUGUGAAAUGUGCUACAUACUGCUGGAAUUUUCGAAAACAGCGACAAUAAUGUGGAUGUUCAUCGAAGGAUUGUCGCUACACAACGCUAUGACAGUGGCGGUGUUUCAAGAGUAUUCAUUCAUCAAGAUUUACUGUUAUGCUGGCUGGUUGGCGUCCAUCUUGCUCACGUCGAUAUGGGCCAUGUCGAUGGUUUAUACAGAAACUGGAAUAUGUUGGUACAUGUACAACUUCCAGAGCAACUAUUGGAUUCUCGAAGGACCAACGAGCGCUUUGAUUGUGAUCAACAUGUUGUUCCUCCUCAACAUAAUACGCAUUGUUGUGAUGAAGUUGCGCAACAGUAACAUGGGCGAAUUCGAGCAAAUGAGAAAAGCAGUGAGAGCAGCCAUUCUAUUGGUGCCGUUAAUGGGCACCCUUAACGUGCUCUUCAUGAUCGACUACAGGAUAUUCACCUCGGCGUGGAUGUUCGGUCUCUGGGCAUUUAGCACGUACUUCUUCACCUCGUUUCAAGGAUUCUUCAUCGCGAAUCUGUACUGUUUCAUGAACGGCGAGGUGCGGGACGUCGUAAAAAAUAAUUUCUCGCUGUACAUGUCGUUGCGCACCGGCGGCGUGGGCGGCGCGCAUCUUCAUCAGCGUAACUCAAGCGAAGUGACGCGUCUGUCCUCGCUCGAUCCGGAAGUAUGACAAAGCGCCAAAAAAUGCGAAUGGUUUAAGGUCUGCUGUUGUCGAGAUAAUGAAUCCAACGACAUCCAGAAAUUCAACGAAACACGUGUCUGACAAACAAUUUGCAUUGAACUAAUUGACACGACCAAAUUACCGGCGCAAUCGUUGGCGUGCACGGCGUCUACGAGUUCAUCCAGAACCCUCAGGUCGCACCAGCAUCCGCAACUACAACGACACAGACAGCUGCAAAACGGAUGAAUGCCGACAAUGCAAAACUUAAUUUAAUUUUUACAAAGAAUAUACGGGUAAACUAAUAUUAGAAUUCACAUGAAAUCGUACAAAGUACAAACAACUAUAGGCAACAUAUUACAGUAUACCUAUAUACUAGUUACGUUUGUGUAAAGUAGCGCUUGGAACUGUUCCUUUUAUUGCGUAGCUUUAAUUUGAAUAUGUAAGAUACUAUCAAAAAAUGUCAGUAUUAUAUACAAUAUUAAAUUAUAAACUAUGCAAAUAUUAGUGAUUACAUUAUUUUCUAGUCAAAGAGUCAUUUGAUGUUAAAAUAACAAACAUAUUUCAAAGUGAUAUUUUGUAUUAAAUAUUAAAUAAUAUUUUGUUUUUUGCCAACGACAGAUUAUAAACUGAAUAAAAACACAACAAAUA